RNAcentral lists this transfer RNA (76 nucleotides) under Brevibacillus thermoruber. RNAcentral describes it as "tRNA-Asn". It matches the Rfam family "tRNA". From Rfam's summary of the family: Transfer RNA (tRNA) molecules are approximately 80 nucleotides in length. RNAcentral also lists the same sequence under 8 other names. The record is from RNAcentral. Lineage: Bacteria; Bacillati; Bacillota; Bacilli; Caryophanales; Paenibacillaceae.
UCCUCGGUAGCUCAGUCGGUAGAGCAAUCGGCUGUUAACCGAUCGGUCGGGGGUUCGAGUCCCUCCCGAGGAGCCA